GACGAACGCUGGCGGCGUGCUUAACACAUGCAAGUCGAACGGAAAGGCCCUGCUUUUGUGGGGUGCUCGAGUGGCGAACGGGUGAGUAACACGUGAGUAACCUGCCCUUGACUUUGGGAUAACUUCAGGAAACUGGGGCUAAUAACGGAUAGGAGCUCCUGCUGCAUGGUGGGGGUUGGAAAGUUUCGGCGGUUGGGGAUGGACUCGCGGCUUAUCAGCUUGUUGGUGGGGUAGUGGCUUACCAAGGCUUUGACGGGUAGCCGGCCUGAGAGGGUGACCGGCCACAUUGGGACUGAGAUACGGCCCAGACUCCUACGGGAGGCAGCAGUGGGGAAUAUUGCACAAUGGGCGGAAGCCUGAUGCAGCAACGCCGCGUGCGGGAUGACGGCCUUCGGGUUGUAAACCGCUUUCGCCUGUGACGAAGCGUGAGUGACGGUAAUGAGUAAAGAAGCACCGGCUAACUACGUG
This 468-nucleotide ribosomal RNA is filed under the name uncultured bacterium. RNAcentral describes it as "partial 16S ribosomal RNA". It matches the Rfam family "Bacterial small subunit ribosomal RNA", at positions 28 to 507 of the family's 1533-position model. The record is from RNAcentral.